GGGGGGAGGGCAAUGUGGCUGCGACAUCUGUCACCCCAUUGAUCGCCAGAGUUGAUUCGGCUGAUCUGGCUGGAGAGGCGGGUAUCCCCUUUCUCCCUCACCGCUCCACGUGCGUCCCUCCCGAAGCGGCGCGCUCGGUCGAAGAGGACGACCUUCGCGGUAGAGGAGGGCCUUCUUCGUCGAGGGUACACAGUAGGAGCGCUCCCCUGCUAGAACCUCCAAACAAGCUCUCAAGGAAAGAAAUUCUAUUUGUGAAGCCGCUCUCUACCCUAAGCAGACUCUUGGACAAACCUCAGGCGUCUAACUAG
Unclassified non-coding RNA from Tupaia belangeri (northern tree shrew), 308 nucleotides. Its record names the gene 7SK. It matches the Rfam family "7SK RNA". Rfam says of the family: 7SK was discovered as an abundant small nuclear RNA in the mid-70s but a possible function has only recently been suggested. The record is from Ensembl. NCBI's taxonomy places the organism in Eukaryota, Metazoa, Chordata, Mammalia, Scandentia, Tupaiidae.